RNAcentral lists this ribosomal RNA (250 nucleotides) under uncultured bacterium. RNAcentral describes it as "partial 16S ribosomal RNA". It matches the Rfam family "Bacterial small subunit ribosomal RNA", at positions 28 to 268 of the family's 1533-position model. The record is from RNAcentral.
GACGAACGCUGGCGGCGUGCCUAAUACAUGCAAGUCGAGCGGACAGAAGGGAGCUUGCUCCCGGAUGUUAGCGGCGGACGGGUGAGUAACACGUGGGUAACCUGCCUGUAAGACUGGGAUAACUCCGGGAAACCGGAGCUAAUACCGGAUAGUUCCUUGAACCGCAUGGUUCAAGGAUGAAAGACGGUUUCGGCUGUCACUUACAGAUGGACCCGCGGCGCAUUAGCUAGUUGGUGGGGUAAUGGCUCAC